This 375-nucleotide long non-coding RNA is filed under the name Medicago truncatula (barrel medic). RNAcentral's name for it is "lncRNA gene32468". Lineage: Eukaryota; Viridiplantae; Streptophyta; Magnoliopsida; Fabales; Fabaceae. The record is from RNAcentral.
GUUAUAUUUCACAAGAGACCAUAACAUAACAUGUGAAGUCUCUUAAACUUGUAAAAUGCUCCAUGGUGCAAAGUGGUGUUGAUAAGUAUUAAAUAAUGCAUCCUCCUCAAAAAAAAUAAAACUAUUAACUGAUGAAUCAUCACGAAAAAAGAGGUUAACGGAUACUUGAACGUGUUCUGUUUUGAAGUUCAUGGUAGGUAGGCUGCACUUUCUAUGAACAAUUAGUAAUCAUUCUCAUAUAUACACUAUGCAGGGAGCAAGAAAAUCUUUACUACAAUGAAAUUUGCAAUAUGUUGUGUUGAAAACUUAUUUAUUUGAAGAAAAAAAAAUUGUUGUUAAUAUUUUGGUAAUAUACAUACCUCCAAUGGGGAUCAC